This 943-nucleotide ribosomal RNA is filed under the name uncultured Bacillota bacterium. RNAcentral describes it as "bacterial SSU rRNA". It matches the Rfam family "Bacterial small subunit ribosomal RNA", at positions 1 to 917 of the family's 1533-position model. Lineage: Bacteria; Bacillati; Bacillota. The record is from RNAcentral.
UGGAUCCAGACUUUGAUCAUGGCUCAGGAUGAACGCUGGCGGCGUGCUUAACACAUGCAAGUCGAACGGAGAUGUAAAGUGAGCGGGAAGUGCCUGCACAGAACAAUUAUGAUACAUCUUAGUGGCGGACGGGUGAGUAACGCGUGGGGAACCUGCCUUAUACCGGGGGAUAACACUUAGAAAUAGGUGCUAAUACCGCAUAACAGGAGUGGACGCAUGUCUAUUCCUUGAAAACUGAGGUGGUAUAAGAUGGACCCGCGUCUGAUUAGCUUGUUGGCGGGGUAACGGCCCACCAAGGCGACGAUCAGUAGCCGGCCUGAGAGGGUGAACGGCCACAUUGGGACUGAGACACGGCCCAAACUCCUACGGGAGGCAGCAGUGGGGAAUAUUGCACAAUGGGGGAAACCCUGACGCAGCGACGCCGCGUGAGUGAAGAAGUAUUUCGGUAUGUAAGGCUCUAUCAGCAGGGAAGAAAUAAAGGCCUUCGGGCUUUGAGACGGUACCUGACUAAGAAGCCCCGGCUAACUACGUGCCAGCAGCCGCGGUAAUACGUAGGGGGCAAGCGUUAUCCGGAUUUACUGGGUGUAAAGGGAGCGUAGACGGCAAUGCAAGUCUGAAGUGAAAGGCCGGGGCCCAACCCCGGGACUGCUUUGGAAACUGUGUAGCUGGAGUACAGGAGAGGUAAGUGGAAUUCCUAGUGUAGCGGUGAAAUGCGUAGAUAUUAGGAGGAACACCAGUGGCGAAGGCGGCUUACUGGACUGUAACUGACGUUGAGGCUCGAAAGCGUGGGGAGCAAACAGGAUUAGAUACCCUGGUAGUCCACGCCGUAAACGAUGAUCACUAGGUGUCGGGGAGUAUAGACUCUUCGGUGCCGCAGCCAACGCAGUAAGUGAUCCACCUGGGGAGUACGUUCGCAAGAAUGCAACUCAAAUGAAUUGACGGA